ACUCCUACGGGAGGCAGCAGCUAAGAAUCUUCCGCAAUGGGCGCAAGCCUGACGGAGCGACGCCGCGUGAACGAUGAAGGCCGCAAGGUUGUAAAGUUCUUUUCGGGAAGGAGAAUAAGGGGAGCAGGCAAUGGCUUUCCGAUGCCGUGAAUCCCGGAAUAAGCCCCGGCUAACUACGUGCCAGCAGCCGCGGUAAUA
RNAcentral lists this ribosomal RNA (198 nucleotides) under uncultured bacterium. RNAcentral's name for it is "partial 16S ribosomal RNA". It matches the Rfam family "Bacterial small subunit ribosomal RNA", at positions 335 to 525 of the family's 1533-position model. The record is from RNAcentral.